Molecule: ribosomal RNA, 401 nt
Filed under: uncultured bacterium
Lineage: Bacteria
Description: bacterial SSU rRNA
Rfam family: Bacterial small subunit ribosomal RNA
Source: RNAcentral
AGGGAAUUUUCCACAAUGGGCGAAAGCCUGAUGGAGCAACGCCGCGUGCAGGAUGAAUGCCUUCGGGUUGUAAACUGCUUUUAUUAGUGAAGAAUAUGACGGUAACUAAUGAAUAAGGGUCGGCUAACUACGUGCCAGCAGCCGCGGUCAUACGUAGGACCCAAGCGUUAUCCGGAAUUACUGGGCGUAAAGAGUUGCGUAGGUGGCAUGAUAAGUGGAGUGUGAAAGCGUGCGGCUCAACCGCAUAUCCGCAUUCCAAACUAUUAAGCUUGAGUAUGAGAGAGGUAGAUGGAAUUUCUAGUGUAGGAGUGAAAUCCGUAGAUAUUAGAAGGAACACCGAUGGCGUAGGCAGUCUACUGGCUCAUUACUGACACUAAGGCACGAAAGCGUGGGGAGCGAAC